This 468-nucleotide ribosomal RNA is filed under the name uncultured bacterium. RNAcentral describes it as "partial 16S ribosomal RNA". It matches the Rfam family "Bacterial small subunit ribosomal RNA", at positions 28 to 507 of the family's 1533-position model. The record is from RNAcentral.
GACGAACGCUGGCGGCGUGCUUAACACAUGCAAGUCGAACGGAAAGGCCCUGCUUUUGUGGGGUGCUCGAGUGGCGAACGGGUGAGUAACACGUGAGUAACCUGCCCUUGACUUUGGGAUAACUUCAGGAAACUGGGGCUAAUACCGGAUAGGAGCUCCUGCUGCAUGGUGGGGGUUGGAAAGUUUCGGCGGUUGGGGAUGGACUCGCGGCUUAUCAGCUUGUUGGUGGGGUAGUGGCUUACCAAGGCUUUGACGGGUAGCCGGCCUGAGAGGGUGACCGGCCACAUUGGGACUGAGAUACGGCCCAGACUCAUACGGGAGGCAGCAGUGGGGAAUAUUGCACAAUGGGCGGAAGACUGAUGCAGCAACGCCGCGUGCGGGAUGACGGCCUUCGGGUUGUAAACCGCUUUCGCCUGUGACGAAGCGUGAGUGACGGUAAUGGGUAAAGAAGCACCGGCUAACUACGUG